CUGGCCUUGACAUCCAAUGAACAUCCUAGAGAUGGAUUGGUGCUUCGGGGACAUAGAGACAGGUGCUGCAUGGCUGUCGUCAGCUCGUGUCGUGAGAUGUUGGGUUAAGUCCCGUAACGAGCGCAACCCUUGAUCUUAGUUACCAGCACAUCAUGGUGGGCACUCUAAGGAGACUGCCGGUGACAAACCGGAGGAAGGUGGGGAUGACGUCAAGUCAUCAUGCCCCUUACGGCCUGGGCUACACACGUGCUACAAUGGCGGGUACAGAGGGUUGCAAAGCCGCGAGGUGUAGCUAAUCCCUCAAAACCGAUCGUAGUCCGGAUCGCAGUCUGCAACUCGACUGCGUGAAGUCGGAAUCGCUAGUAAUCGCGGAUCAGAAUGYCGCGGUGAAUACGUUCCC
Molecule: ribosomal RNA, 400 nt
Filed under: uncultured Pseudomonas sp.
Lineage: Bacteria; Pseudomonadati; Pseudomonadota; Gammaproteobacteria; Pseudomonadales; Pseudomonadaceae
Description: bacterial SSU rRNA
Rfam family: Bacterial small subunit ribosomal RNA
Source: RNAcentral